GUAUACAUGCAAGUCGAACGAACUCUGGUAUUGAUUGGUGCUUGCAUCAUGAUUUACAUUUGAGUGAGUGGCGAACUGGUGAGUAACACGUGGGAAACCUGCCCAGAAGCGGGGGAUAACACCUGGAAACAGAUGCUAAUACCGCAUAACAACUUGGACCGCAUGGUCCGAGUUUGAAAGAUGGCUUCGGCUAUCACUUUUGGAUGGUCCCGCGGCGUAUUAGCUAGAUGGUGAGGUAACGGCUCACCAUGGCAAUGAUACGUAGCCGACCUGAGAGGGUAAUCGGCCACAUUGGGACUGAGACACGGCCCAAACUCCUACGGGAGGCAGCAGUAGGGAAUCUUCCACAAUGGACGAAAGUCUGAUGGAGCAACGCCGCGUGAGUGAAGAAGGGUUUCGGCUCGUAAAACUCUGUUGUUAAAGAAGAACAUAUCUGAGAGUAACUGUUCAGGUAUUGACGGUAUUUAACCAGAAAGCCACGGCUAACUACGUGCCAGCAGCCGCGGUAAUACGUAGGUGGCAAGCGUUGUCCGGAUUUAUUGGGCGUAAAGCGAGCGCAGGCGGUUUUUUAAGUCUGAUGUGAAAGCCUUCGGCUCAACCGAAGAAGUGCAUCGGAAACUGGGAAACUUGAGUGCAGAAGAGGACAGUGGAACUCCAUGUGUAGCGGUGAAAUGCGUAGAUAUAUGGAAGAACACCAGUGGCGAAGGCGGCUGUCUGGUCUGUAACUGACGCUGAGGCUCGAAAGUAUGGGUAGCAAACAGGAUUAGAUACCCUGGUAGUCCAUACCGUAAACGAUGAAUGCUAAGUGUUGGAGGGUUUCCGCCCUUCAGUGCUGCAGCUAACGCAUUAAGCAUUCCGCCUGGGGAGUACGGCCGCAAGGCUGAAACUCAAAGGAAUUGACGGGGGCCCGCACAAGCGGUGGAGCAUGUGGUUUAAUUCGAAGCUACGCGAAGAACCUUACCAGGUCUUGACAUACUAUGCAAAUCUAAGAGAUUAGACGUUCCCUUCGGGGACAUGGAUACAGGUGGUGCAUGGUUGUCGUCAGCUCGUGUCGUGAGAUGUUGGGUUAAGUCCCGCAACGAGCGCAACCCUUAUUAUCAGUUGCCAGCAUUAAGUUGGGCACUCUGGUGAGACUGCCGGUGACAAACCGGAGGAAGGUGGGGAUGACGUCAAAUCAUCAUGCCCCUUAUGACCUGGGCUACACACGUGCUACAAUGGAUGGUACAACGAGUUGCGAACUCGCGAGAGUAAGCUAAUCUCUUAAAGCCAUUCUCAGUUCGGAUUGUAGGCUGCAACUCGCCUACAUGAAGUCGGAAUCGCUAGUAAUCGCGGAUCAGCAUGCCGCGGUGAAUACGUUCCCGGGCCUUGUACACACCGCCCGUCACACCAUGAGAGUUUGUAACACCCAAAGUCGGUGGGGUAACCUUUUAGGAACCAGCCGCCUAA
This 1446-nucleotide ribosomal RNA is filed under the name Lactiplantibacillus plantarum. RNAcentral's name for it is "bacterial SSU rRNA". It matches the Rfam family "Bacterial small subunit ribosomal RNA". The record is from RNAcentral. Lineage: Bacteria; Bacillati; Bacillota; Bacilli; Lactobacillales; Lactobacillaceae.